AAAACGUUUUGAAUUCUGGAGCAUUCCAAAUCAGGCAUCAGGCAUAUGUGAGAAAGGAGUGUGGUCUACAGCAGAUCAGAUUAAUUCUCUAGGCAAUCGCAAAAGGAAAUACCCAAAAAGAUGCAUUUAAUAAUCCCUUUUGAUUUAAUUCAAUUUGCCAAGUAACAUCCCAAUGACCAAUUCAUUAUCUUGGGCACAGUAAUAGUAAUAUCAGGAACAUAUUACUAAACAGAAAAUAUGUUAUAUUUUAAGAGAAGUUUUAAGAAAUGCAAUGGCUGGGUGCAGUGGCUCGUGUGCAUAAUCC
RNAcentral lists this long non-coding RNA (304 nucleotides) under Homo sapiens (human). RNAcentral's name for it is "HSALNT0232837". Lineage: Eukaryota; Metazoa; Chordata; Mammalia; Primates; Hominidae. The record is from RNAcentral.